CAAGUAGAACGCUGAAGGAGGAGCUUGCUUCUCCGGAUGAGUUGCGAACGGGUGAGUAACGCGUAGGUAACCUGCCUGGUAGCGGGGGAUAACUAUUGGAAACGAUAGCUAAUACCGCAUAACAGUAGAUAUUGCAUGAUAUCUGCUUGAAAGGUGCAAUUGCAUCACUACCAGAUGGACCUGCGUUGUAUUAGCUAGUUGGUGAGGUAACGGCUCACCAAGGCGACGAUACAUAGCAGACCUGAGAGGGUGAUCGGCCACACUGGGACUGAGACACGGCCCAGACUCCUACGGGAGGCAGCAGUAGGGAAUCUUCGGCAAUGGACGGAAGUCUGACCGAGCAACGCCGCGUGAGUGAAGAAGGUUUUCGGAUCGUAAAGCUCUGUUGUAAGAGAAGAACGAGUGUGAGAGUGGAAAGUUCACACUGUGACGGUAUCUUACCAGAAAGGGACGGCUAACUACGUGCCAGCAGCCGCGGUAAUACGUAGGUCCCGAGCGUUGUCCGGAUUUAUUGGGCGUAAAGCGAGCGCAGGCGGUUAGAUAAGUCUGAAGUUAAAGGCUGUGGCUUAACCAUAGUACGCUUUGGAAACUGUUUAACUUGAGUGCAAGAGGGGAGAGUGGAAUUCCAUGUGUAGCGGUGAAAUGCGUAGAUAUAUGGAGGAACACCGGUGGCGAAAGCGGCUCUCUGGCUUGUAACUGACGCUGAGGCUCGAAAGCGUGGGGAGCAAACAGGAUUAGGUACCCUGGUAGUCCACGCCGUAAACGAUGAGUGCUAGGUGUUAGACCCUUUC
Molecule: ribosomal RNA, 791 nt
Filed under: uncultured Streptococcaceae bacterium
Lineage: Bacteria; Bacillati; Bacillota; Bacilli; Lactobacillales; Streptococcaceae
Description: SSU rRNA
Rfam family: Bacterial small subunit ribosomal RNA
Source: RNAcentral